Molecule: long non-coding RNA, 589 nt
Organism: Drosophila nasuta
Lineage: Eukaryota; Metazoa; Arthropoda; Insecta; Diptera; Drosophilidae
Exons: 2
Source: RefSeq, a predicted model, not a curated record
UAAAAGUAAGCCAUGAAAAACAAAAAUCUUGAAUCAAAAAUUCGUUAUUUGAACAACAAUAAAUACAAUCAAUAAAUGUGGUGAAACGAAAAAUACAAAAUUAAAACAAAAAUUAAAUUUCCUGGUUCAAAACUAAACAUUUUUUCUAAAAUUACAGUCUCGAUUUAGGAAAAAACAACAAAGAAUAUCUAUAGUUUCUAAACUUUUCGAUCUUAAGAAAAUCUUUUAAAAUUCUGGAAAAAGUAUUACAAUCUUUAAGCACCGUUAUGGGAUUCGAAUUCUUGAUAGAAGAUUGAAUAUUUAUCAAAGUCAAAAGCUUGACUCGUAUUUUCAAAACGUGAGCCGUAAAAAAACAGAUUUGGUGCACGAUUUCAAAAUAAAAGUGCAAAACCAAGAAUAAAAAUACUAAAUAUAAGAAAAUACAAAAAUUAUUGGGAAAUCAAAGUCUCAAAUUAAGAAUGUUUGAUCAUAAUUUAGGAGUUUUCCUGUCUGGAUUUAAUGUUGGCUUAUUCCAUUUUUUAAUUAAGAACAUAUACUUGAAUUGAGAAUGUUUCUUAUCCGCAACAUAAUAAGAUUUCCUAUUCUACUA